Molecule: non-coding RNA, 480 nt
Organism: Notechis scutatus (mainland tiger snake)
Lineage: Eukaryota; Metazoa; Chordata; Lepidosauria; Squamata; Elapidae
Source: RefSeq, a predicted model, not a curated record
UGGGCAGGGGGUUUGGACUAGAUGACCUACAAGGUCCCUUCCAACUCUGUUAAUCUGCUAAAGAAGACAGAUGAGAUUUGCCCAUCAGGCUAAUCCUUAUUUGGCUUUGGCAUGGGUGCCAUUAUGGCUUGUAAAACAUAGUUUAUCCCUUAGAAAAACCUGCAAUUCCAUCUAGGGUUCAUUCAACAAAGCAAAGUUAUACAAACAAGGACUCCGCUGACAGAAGAGCCAUUUUCCAACUGGUUUGUAGAUAAUGCAUGGUCUGCAAACUCAAGCGCAAGAAUGCAAUACAUCAGACAAAUUGUGUGACCCUCAUCGGAUAUGGUUUAGAAUCCAGAAAAGGAUGUCUGGAAUAUUUGUUAGCAACACCUGAAAAAUAUUUUGAUUAGAGGGAGAAGGGAAGAAUUAAUUAAGCAACCUAUCUGGUCAGUGAUUUCCCUUGUUCCCAAGUUACAAAAGGUAGACAUUUACAAACUUCCA